RNAcentral lists this small nuclear RNA (103 nucleotides) under Bos grunniens (domestic yak). The record is from RNAcentral. Lineage: Eukaryota; Metazoa; Chordata; Mammalia; Artiodactyla; Bovidae.
CUGAACUAAAUUGAACUGAUACUAAAAUUGGAAUGAUACAGAGAGAUUAGUCUGGCCCUUGCACAAGGAUGGCAUGCAAAUUCACGAAGUGCUCCUUACUGUU